This 497-nucleotide ribosomal RNA is filed under the name uncultured bacterium. RNAcentral describes it as "partial 16S ribosomal RNA". It matches the Rfam family "Bacterial small subunit ribosomal RNA", at positions 28 to 507 of the family's 1533-position model. The record is from RNAcentral.
GACGAACGCUGGCGGCGUGCCUAAUACAUGCAAGUUGAGCGCUGAAGGUUGGUACUUGUACCAACUGGAUGAGCAGCGAACGGGUGAGUAACGCGUGGGGAAUCUGCCUUUGAGCGGGGGACAACAUUUGGAAACGAAUGCUAAUACCGCAUAAAAACUUUAAACACAAGUUUUAAGUUUGAAAGAUGCAAUUGCAUCACUCAAAGAUGAUCCCGCGUUGUAUUAGCUAGUUGGUGAGGUAAAGGCUCACUAAGGCGAUGAUACAUAGCCGACCUGAGAGGGUGAUCGGCCACACUGGGACUGAGACACGCCCCAAACUCCUACGGGAGGCAGCAGUAGGGAAUCGUCGGCAAUGGACGAAAGUCUGACCGAGCAACGCCGCGUGAGUGAAGAAGGUUUUCGGAUCGUAAAACUCUGUUGGUAGAGAAGAACGUUGGUGAGAGUGGAAAGCUCAUCAAGUGACGGUAACUACUCAGAAAGGGACGGCUAACUACGUG